RNAcentral lists this ribosomal RNA (525 nucleotides) under bacterium enrichment culture clone Cont133_3131. Its description in RNAcentral is "bacterial SSU rRNA". It matches the Rfam family "Bacterial small subunit ribosomal RNA", at positions 8 to 525 of the family's 1533-position model. The record is from RNAcentral.
AGAGUUUGAUCMUGGCUCAGGAYGAACGCUGGCGGCGUGCUUAACACAUGCAAGUCGAACGGUGAUGAUGGGGCUUGCCCUGUCUGAUCAGUGGCGAACGGGUGAGUAACACGUGAGUAACCUGCCCCUGACUCUGGGAUAACCGUGGGAAACGACGGCUAAUACCGGAUAUGAGACGUCCACGCAUGUGGAGCGUCUGGAARGUAUUUUAUUGGGUCUGGGGAUGGACUCGCGGCCUAUCAGCUUGUUGGUGRGGUARUGGCCUCACCAAGGCGACGACGGGUAGCCGGCCUGAGAGGGCGACCGGCCACACUGGGACUGAGACACGGCCCAGACUCCUACGGGAGGCAGCAGUGGGGAAUMUUGCRCAAUGGSCGRAAGGCUGACGCAGCGACGCCGCGUGUGGGAGGACGCCUUUCGGGGUGUAAACCACUGUUGCCCGGGACGAACAUCCCUUUUCGAGGGGACUGACGGURCCGGGGUGAGGAAGCACCGGCUAACUCCGUGCCAGCCGCCGCGGUAAUA